AUAUCAAUAAGCGGAGGAAAAGAAACCAACAGGGAUUGCCUCAGUAGCGGCGAGUGAAGCGGCAAGAGCUCAGAUUUGAAAUCUCACCUAGUGUGCGAGUUGUAAAUUGCAGGUUGGAGUCUCGGGUUAGACGUGUGUGCAAGUCCCUUGGAACAGGGUGCCACUGAGGGUGAGAGCCCCGUAUCGUGCAUGUCGACACCUGUGAGGCCCUUCUGACGAGUCGAGUUGUUUGGGAAUGCAGCUCUAAGUGGGUGGUAAAUUCCAUCUAAGGCUAAAUAUUGGCGAGAGACCGAUAGCGAACAAGUACUGUGAAGGAAAGAUGAAAAGCACUUUGAAAAGAGAGUGAAACAGCACGUGAAAUUGUUGAAAGGGAAGGGUAUUGGGCUCGACAUGGGAUUUACGCAUCGUUGCCUCUCGUGGGCGGCGCUCUGGGUUUUUCCUGGGCCAGCAUCGGUUUUCGUUGCAGGAUAAGGACAAUUGGAAUGUGGCUCCUCGGAGUGUUAUAGCCUUUUGUAGAUGCUGCGUAUGGGGACCGAGGGCUGCGGCGGACUCGUUUCGUCUCGGAUGCUGGCACAACGGCGCAAUACCGCCCGUCUUGAAACAACGG
This 607-nucleotide ribosomal RNA is filed under the name Pichia kluyveri. Its description in RNAcentral is "eukaryotic LSU rRNA". It matches the Rfam family "Eukaryotic large subunit ribosomal RNA", at positions 40 to 664 of the family's 3401-position model. Lineage: Eukaryota; Fungi; Ascomycota; Pichiomycetes; Pichiales; Pichiaceae. The record is from RNAcentral.